This 496-nucleotide ribosomal RNA is filed under the name uncultured bacterium. Its description in RNAcentral is "bacterial SSU rRNA". It matches the Rfam family "Bacterial small subunit ribosomal RNA", at positions 16 to 507 of the family's 1533-position model. The record is from RNAcentral.
AUCAUGGCUCAGAUUGAACGCUGGCGGCAUGCUUUACACAUGCAAGUCGAACGGCAGCGCGGGGGCAACCCUGGCGGCGAGUGGCGAACGGGUGAGUAAUGUAUCGGAACGUAUCCUGUAAUGGGGGAUAACCAGCCGAAGAUUGGGUAAUACCGCAUACGCACGAGAGUGGAAAGUAGGGGAUCGCAAGACCUUACGUUAUAGGAGCGGCCGAUAUCUGAUUAGCUAGUUGGUGGGGUAAAGGCCUACCAAGGCGACGAUCAGUAGCUGGUCUGAGAGGAUGAUCAGCCACACUGGGACUGAGACACGGCCCAGACUCCUACGGGAGGCAGCAGUGGGGAAUUUUGGACAAUGGGCGAAAGCCUGAUCCAGCCAUGCCGCGUGCGGGAAGAAGGCCUUCGGGUUGUAAACCGCUUUAGUCUAGGAAAAAGGGGUGCGAGGUUAAUACCCUCGUGCUUUGAUGGUACUGGAAGAAUAAGCACCGGCUAACUACGUG